This 442-nucleotide ribosomal RNA is filed under the name uncultured bacterium. RNAcentral describes it as "partial 16S ribosomal RNA". It matches the Rfam family "Bacterial small subunit ribosomal RNA", at positions 338 to 795 of the family's 1533-position model. The record is from RNAcentral.
CCUACGGGUGGCUGUAGUGGGGAAUAUUGGGCAAUGGGCGCAAGCCUGACCCAGCAACGCCGCGUGAAGGAAGAAGGCUUUCGGGUUGUAAACUUCUUUUGUCAGGGAAGAGUAGAAGACGGUACCUGACGAAUAAGCCACGGCUAACUACGUGCCAGCAGCCGCGGUAAUACGUAGGUGGCAAGCGUUGUCCGGAUUUACUGGGUGUAAAGGGCGUGCAGCCGGAGAGACAAGUCAGAUGUGAAAUCCACGGGCUCAACCCGUGAACUACAUUUGAAACUGUUUCCCUUGAGUGUCGGAGAGGUAAUCGGAAUUCCUUGUGUAGCGGUGAAAUGCGUAGAUAUAAGGAAGAACACCAGUGGCGAAGGCGGAUUACUGGACGAUAACUGACGGUGAGGCGCGAAAGCGUGGGGAGCAAACAGGAUUAGAUACCCCAGUAGUC